Canis lupus familiaris (dog) is the source of this 775-nucleotide long non-coding RNA. RefSeq lists it as uncharacterized. Lineage: Eukaryota; Metazoa; Chordata; Mammalia; Carnivora; Canidae. The transcript has 5 exons. The record is from RefSeq and is a predicted model, not a curated record.
UGCUCCUACCCGGAAGGUGUGAGGCCCGCCCAGGAUUGCCGCGCAGGUGAUACCGCUCUCCCAAGAUCCAGGCUGGGUUGCCAGGUGUUGGUUCGCAACCUGGGCCCUGUAUGUGGAGGCCAAGGAGGCCCAAAGGUAGAAUGUUGCAGAUUGAGCCACUUAUACAAUGGGGAGGAAGAUAGGAAGAGGGAAGAACGCGGCUAACAGCGAGUACCAGAUGAGAAUUCACCAUGGGGUAUGCUGUCUUGAUUGACGUAGUUUUACACAUACUUUAUUUUAGGUAUAUAAUACACCACUACUGAGACUGAGGAAAGUACAAGUAACUGAACCUGGGAAUGAUAAAGGAAACAUUGCUAGUUCAACCAAAAAGAAAAAAGAUGAUGAUUCUGUGAAAAAGUGUAUGCCAAGGAAUUUCAUAGCUUAAAGGAAAUGCGUAAUUUUUUUUGGACGACAAUUAUAUUACCUGACACAAGAAGAAAUAGAAAAUUAGAGUAUUCCCAAGUCUAUUAAAGAAAUUGAAUGUGUUAUUAAAAACCUUUCUAUGAAGGAAACUUCUAUUUCAGAUUCAUGAAAGAAUUCUACCAACAUAAGAAGAAAUAACACCUAUGUUGAACAAAGUUUUCCAAAGUACACAGAAAAAAGGCAACAUUUCUUAACAAUUGUUUAAAAUUAAUAAAAUCUUGAUGCCAAAGCUGUUAAACAUAUAUAAUAAAGGAAAUUAUAAAUCAGUCUCUUUUUAUAUACAUAAAUUAUUGAUAUUUAGUGUAUUGGGAAA